This 253-nucleotide ribosomal RNA is filed under the name uncultured bacterium. RNAcentral describes it as "partial 16S ribosomal RNA". It matches the Rfam family "Bacterial small subunit ribosomal RNA", at positions 524 to 776 of the family's 1533-position model. The record is from RNAcentral.
UACGUAGGGUGCAAGCGUUGUCCGGAAUUAUUGGGCGUAAAGAGCUCGUAGGCGGUUUGUCGCGUCGAAUGUGAAAACCCGGGGCUCAACCCCGGGCCUGCAUUCGAUACGGGCAGACUAGAGUUCGGUAGGGGAGUCUGGAAUUCCUGGUAUAGCGGUGAAAUGCGCAGAUAUCAGGAGGAACACCGGUGGCGAAGGCGGGACUCUGGGCCGAUACUGACGCUGAGGAGCGAAAGCGUGGGGAGCAAACAGG